This 542-nucleotide long non-coding RNA is filed under the name Homo sapiens (human). Its description in RNAcentral is "novel transcript". Lineage: Eukaryota; Metazoa; Chordata; Mammalia; Primates; Hominidae. The record is from RNAcentral.
GAAUUCAAACAAACAAUGGUUGCUUUUACCUCUUUGAUAUAAAACCCCAGGAAGGCUCACCUACCUGAAUCACUUUUGUGAGUAAAAUCAUAUUUUCUGCUGCCAAACUGAUUAAAAUAAGUUACCAUGACACCAAUUCCUCAUUCCUGAAGAAGAUACGAGAUGACCAGCUGCAACUAAGCAAAUACUUUGCUCGCGUUCAGCCCAUAGGGUCUGAAUGCUGUUUUCCAGCUCCAGUCCAAACGAUUUGCACACCUGUUGAAGAGAAAGUAAAAUAUGACAGUGGUACAAACUCCGGGGGAUUAAAGCGAUUUUCACUGAGCUCUUAAAGCUGAGGAGGAGAAGGCACUCAGGGAAUGCUCCCCUCUUGGUGUUCUCCGUGUUCUCAUGGUGAGCAGUGUCAUAUACAACCAGUCUCUGAUUUGCUGUACUUCCCAGGCUGAACAUAUGCUGCAGAAUACCUUUGAUGUUGCCACAAUUGUGUGUGUGAUCUUCAAUCACGGAUGUCAUCAAAUUUUAUUAAACUUAAUGUAGAUAAAACC